This 848-nucleotide ribosomal RNA is filed under the name uncultured fungus. Its description in RNAcentral is "eukaryotic LSU rRNA". The stretch from base 1 to 241 matches the Rfam family "Eukaryotic small subunit ribosomal RNA", at positions 1593 to 1831 of the family's 1831-position model. The record is from RNAcentral. Lineage: Eukaryota; Fungi.
UUGCUCUUCAACGAGGAAUACCUAGUAAGCGUGAGUCAUCAGCUCGCGUUGAUUACGUCCCUGCCCUUUGUACACACCGCCCGUCGCUACUACCGAUUGAAUGGCUUAGUGAGGUCUUGGGAUUGGCUUCGGGGAGCCGGCAACGGCACCCUGUUGCUGAGAACUUGAUCAAACUUGGUCAUUUAGAGGAAGUAAAAGUCGUAACAAGGUUUCCGUAGGUGAACCUGCGGAAGGAUCAUUAACGAGUUUUGAAAUGGGUUGUAGCUGGCCUUACGAAGGCAUGUGCACACCCUGCUCAUCCACUCUCAUACCCCUGUGCACCUAUUGUAGGCUUGGUGGGAAGACUGGUGUCAUAACCAGUCGGAAAGCCUUGCCUAUGUUUUAACACAAACGCUUCAGUUUUAGAAUGUCACAUUUGCGUCUAACGCAUGAAAUACAACUUUCAGCAACGGAUCUCUUGGCUCUCGCAUCGAUGAAGAACGCAGCGAAAUGCGAUAAGUAAUGUGAAUUGCAGAAUUCAGUGAAUCAUCGAAUCUUUGAACGCACCUUGCACUCCUUGGUAUUCCGAGGAGUAUGCCUGUUUGAGUGUCAUGGUAUUCUCAACCUCUAAAGCUUUUGCGAUAGAGGCUUGGAUGUGGAGGUCGUGUUGGCGCAAGUCAACUCCUCUGAAAUGCAUUAGUGUGAAUCUUACGGAUCGCCUCCAGUGUGAUAAGUAUCUACGCUGUGGUGUUGAAGUAUAUAGGCAUUCAUGCUUCUAAUCGUCUCUUCAUUGAGACAAUUACUUGACAAUCUGACCUCAAAUCAGGUAGGACUACCCGCUGAACUUAAGCAUAUCAAUAAGCGGAGGA